UAAUGCACUGCCAUUCAUAAUUGCCAAUUGAA
Molecule: non-coding RNA, 32 nt
Filed under: Homo sapiens (human)
Lineage: Eukaryota; Metazoa; Chordata; Mammalia; Primates; Hominidae
Source: RNAcentral